RNAcentral lists this ribosomal RNA (467 nucleotides) under uncultured bacterium. RNAcentral describes it as "partial 16S ribosomal RNA". It matches the Rfam family "Bacterial small subunit ribosomal RNA", at positions 29 to 507 of the family's 1533-position model. The record is from RNAcentral.
ACGAACGCUGGCGGCGUGCUUAACGCAUGCAAGUCGAACGGAAAGGCCCUGCUUUUGUGGGGUGCUCGAGUGGCGAACGGGUGAGUAACACGUGAGUAACCUGCCCUUGACUUUGGGAUAACUUCAGGAAACUGGGGCUAAUACCGGAUAGGAGCUCCUGCUGCAUGGUGGGGGUUGGAAAGUUUCGGCGGUUGGGGAUGGACUCGCGGCUUAUCAGCUUGUUGGUGGGGUAGUGGCUUACCAAGGCUUUGACGGGUAGCCGGCCUGAGAGGGUGACCGGCCACAUUGGGACUGAGAUACGGCCCAGACUCCUACGGGAGGCAGCAGUGGGGAAUAUUGCACAAUGGGCGGAAGCCUGAUGCAGCAACGCCGCGUGCGGGAUGGCGGCCUUCGGGUUGUAAACCGCUUUCGCCUGUGACGAAGCGUGAGUGACGGUAAUGGGUAAAGAAGCACCGGCUAACUACGUG